GGCAUUUUUACAGAUGUAAUCACACAGAAACAUUUACUACAGAGCUUGUUUCUCUCAGAUUAUGAGAAGACUUAAUAUAUUUUGCAGCUUUUACUGCACAUUGACUUUUCUCCCCACAUAGAUAGGACAGUUUGUGAAGAUCAGGGAGGUGGAUAAACUCAGGAUAUAUAUGAUUGAUAUGAUUUAUAUUUGUCCCAGUAUAACAGGAAGCUGUUUUCUGACAAAGUGAAGGCAGCCUGGCCUCCCUGGGGAGCCUGUUCUGCCUGUGACGGCCUGUUUCUAUGGCCAGACUGUGUCCACUCAGUCUGUACAUUGUCAGCGUUUUCCUCAGUUUUCUAUCAGUCACGGUGGUCAGGUACUCUGCCACCAUGGACUCUCUGUUUAGGCUCAAAUACUAUUCUAAUUUACUUUGUGAGUUGAUAUCAUUUUCUUUUAGUUUUGAGAUGAUUUGGUUGGUCAGAUUGUUUUUGGUGUGUGUGGGCAGAGCUUCAGCAGCAGCUGGCAGAGGGGACUCUGAUCUUUGUUCAACUGGUGCCACUGAAGGGCUUUGUACUGGGAGGACUGGGAGUCGCUAGAUUGAAGGUGUUUGUGGAUUUUAAUUAUUAAAGGGUAUUGAUCUAGUUCUGCCCUGCAGGCAUUAUUGGCUGUGUGUCUGUGGACUCUCAGUAUGUUUGUGCACAGUUCUGCAUGCAGGGCUUCCAGCGGCUGUUUGUCCCAUGUUGGGAGGUCUUGGCUGUUAGGGCCCAUGUGUGACUGAACUUGUGGAGGAUGUCCAGGCUCUGCUGUAAGCCUCUCUGGAGGGAGACAGGAGAACCAGGUCAUCAGCAAACAUCAGACAUUUGACCUGUGUCCUGCAGAGUCACACCAGCAGCUGUGGAUGUUUGCACUUGUUGUGCAAAUGUAUUUCUAUAUAUGUUAAAAAGGGUUGGGCUCAAACUGCAGCCCUGUUUCACCCCACGGUACUGUCUGAAGUAUCUGCUCCUUCUGUUUCACAUUUUAAUUGCACAUCUGUUAUUCAGAUACAUUGAUUGAAUGAGAUCAUAGGUUUUACCCCCUAUGCCACUCUCUAAUAAUCCAUAAAAGAGCCCUUCAUGCCAAAUACAACCAAAUCUACAAAACAUGAAUAAAUGUUCUUUUUAU
Molecule: long non-coding RNA, 1140 nt
Organism: Thunnus maccoyii (southern bluefin tuna)
Lineage: Eukaryota; Metazoa; Chordata; Actinopteri; Scombriformes; Scombridae
Exons: 2
Source: RefSeq, a predicted model, not a curated record